Molecule: long non-coding RNA, 779 nt
Filed under: Olea europaea subsp. europaea
Lineage: Eukaryota; Viridiplantae; Streptophyta; Magnoliopsida; Lamiales; Oleaceae
Source: RNAcentral
UCCUGCGACAGUAUGUUCGUGGCACUCCCAUUAUCAAUCAGAAUCCUCCUUACUUCGAAGUUAGCCACAACCGCAGAAACGACCAAGGCAUCGUCAUGAGGAUAUGAUAUUCUUUCCAAAUCUCUUGCACCAAAAGUGAUGUCUUUAACUUCAUCACUGGAUUCUCUUGGGGUAUGAACAUGUUGGCGGGCAUACUGCUUCCGCCCACUACUUGUGUCUCCACCGGAUGCUAUGCCCCCAACGAUAAUAUUAAUGGUUCCAGCAGUGGGUUGAGCACUGCUUCCAGCCCUAAGCUCUUUCCGAUUGUCCCGAUCAUUCCUUGGCCGUUUAUCAUGACCAAUGUAAUUCUUUAAAAAUCCUCUUUUGAUAAGGGCUUCAAUUUCCCGCUGUAAAGAAUGACAGUCCUCUGUAGUAUGCCCAUGAUCCCGGUGAAAUUCGCAAUACUUGCUCCUAUCUCUUGUGUCAGGGGGCGACUUCAUCCUUGAAGGCCACUUUAAUUCUUUCAUAUCCUUAAACUCAAUCAAAAUGUUUGUCUUAGAGGUGUUCAACCGAGUGAGAGGUGCUGAUGGCGCCUCGUUCCUGUGCUUAUCCCGAGGAACCUCAUGCCUAGGGACGGGAUCAUGUUGCCUUUUGUUCUCGGUCUUUUCAUGAGAAGGACCAGGUCUCCUUGGAUUUAGUGUUUCCUCCAUAUUGAAGUAUUUUUCAGCUCGGGUGAGGAGCUCAGUCACUGUCUACGGCAGGGUCUUUGAUAAAGAUAUCUUGAAAGCCUCACAUCUUAC